Thunnus maccoyii (southern bluefin tuna) is the source of this 2490-nucleotide long non-coding RNA. RefSeq lists it as uncharacterized. The transcript has 8 exons. NCBI's taxonomy places the organism in Eukaryota, Metazoa, Chordata, Actinopteri, Scombriformes, Scombridae. The record is from RefSeq and is a predicted model, not a curated record.
GGAGCGUGCAUGCUACAUCACUACGCUUUGAUUUCACCUAAGCAGAUGAAAAAUAGCAACAUGUGGAUUGUUUAUUCAAUCAUUUCAGUAUUGUAGUUUUAUCAACAAGGUUUAGCAAAGUAACACAUGGCUCAUCUUUCAAUAUAAAUGCUUUUAUUCUUCUGUACGUGUUAUCAAACUUCACAUUAUUCAUUGCACUGAACUGUGAAUGUCUACUGAAAAACCAAGGCAAUCAUAUCUUUUUCCUCUUAUAAUCUGACAAUGUUAUAAUGUACCAUGUAGUCGAUUAUUUAGUCACUCUAUAUUACUGUUUGGAAGCUAGAUCCAAACUCGCUGUGAUUCAACCUUUUGUAAGGAAUUUGUUCAUUCAAAUACAUGUUUGAUACUGUAAAAUCAAGAUCACUGUAAUCAUUUUAACACAUUGUUCGCCUCAAUUCUUGCCUACAGAUUAUACCUACAUAUUAUACCUAAUAACCUCAGUGAAUAUGGAGAUGUUUCCUCUUUCCCAGCAAAAGUUAUAGGGGGAUAUACAUUCUUGCAGUCCAAAGCGUUGUCUGUCGGUAUAUGUAGUCCCCUCCAACAAUCCACAGAUUUUGCCAAGGCGUCCAUCUCCAGGACACGUGAUUCCUUUGUCAUCAGUAAUGCAAAUUAGGUGAGGUCAGGGGUUAGGAUUAAUUGAGGUUGCAAGUCAAUAAACGUAUUGUCAGCAUUUCAGAGGAAUCGGCUAAUUUGAUUUGACCAUUAACUAAAACAUGGUAAGAGAAUGGAUCUGCGGGAUUAUGAGCAGAUAGUUAAGUAUAAACUGAAAAGUGAAUGUCUAGUGCAUUUCACAAAAAGAAGGGCUGAUGAGGCAAGUACUUUUUUUGUUGACUUUCAUGUCAGCCCUACUGGAGCAUUUCUCAUUUCAUGGACAAAACCAUUUCUCUGGAACUUCUUUUCUAUAUCCUUCAAAAUGAUUUAUAAAAACUUUACCAUACUAUAUAUUUAGCAUGUGUUUAUUAAUAAAUUGCCAUCUUUACACAAUGUGUCAUCAGGUUUCCCAAUGCUCAGCACGUCAGGCCAGUACUGUAUUGAAACAGAAUAUACUCCCAUAAAAGAUCAACAAGAGAAUGUGUGAAAUUCUCAACAUCUAAAGAAGCCUCUGCUUGCUCCACCAUCCACAAAGAAUGGCUUGGUCUAUCUAUCUAUCUAUCUAUCUAUCUAUCUAUCUAUCUAUCUAUCUAUCUGUCUAUCAGUCCAUCUAUAGUAAUAAGAGACAUGCAAAACUCACCUUCGUGUGAGGUUUUAAUUUUAACAGCAAAUAAUGUCUUUUUGUUCAAAGUUUGACAACACCGUGGAGGACAUAGUAGGACAGGAAGAUUUGGACAUUUAGUGACAACAGGAGCUAAUGGAACUUGUCAAAGCCAAUCUUGUCAAGGGACAAGAAAAAACAAGGGGCAAAAUAAAGUCAAGUGACAAAACAUCAGACUUCAAAGUCAGGGACAAAGUUUGAAGACAGAACAUAGGGAGCCAACAGAGAAGGGGGGGUGGGGAGGGUGUUGGAAGCCAGAUUUUAAAGACCAUAUAUUGUUAUGGCAAUCCAGGGUAAAAGCACCGAUCUCCAGGAUGAGAAUGGGGAAAUCUUCCACAAAAUUAACCAAUUAAGUUGAUCAUAGAGGACAUAUCCAGAGUGCCACACCGAGGUGUUAAAAAGUAAGGGAAAGCUUCACUGGUUGCUCCACCAUCUUCAUCCCCAUCGCAACCAGCAGCCCCACCACCAUCAUCAUCCCCACCAUGUUCUCCAGCCCCAACCCUCAAGCUAUUCCAGAGAAAUGAAAGGUUGUCCAUGUCCUCCUCUCUAAGGUCCUAAUAUGGAGUUGGAAAGUGAGAUUAAAAACUUGGAGUACAAAAUCAUGGUGGAAAUUAUAAAUGAGCAUCAUCACUGGACAGUAGCGUUAUGUAGGUCAUUUACCCACAAGAAAAGAAGUCCCUAUUCCUGGAUCCACUGGGGGAGUCUAAGAAAGACAUCAAAAGAUGUUUGGAAACAACAAGUUUGCAGAACAAAAGGAGACAGUAGGUUUUCCUGCUACAGAAGAUCAUCACAGUCAUCACCAAACACAGCAGCAAAUUGCCAUCACUCUCCUCCUAGAGACUGGAACUAUGACCUGACAGAGACGUCGCUUCUGUGAGGAAGAGGAGCAUGAGAUGAACUUAAAUUGGAGUCAGAGUCAGAUCUGUUUGUGGUGGUUCCACCAUAUGUGCGUUCGAGGCCCAUCAGCAGUAGAGGCUUUCAUUUGUUCUGCUUGUGUCACUGUAGAGGCAUCAUCUGAGCGUUAUAGACUGAUACGUUUUGUGGCAGCUUGAAAAUGCAGUGUGAGAACUUGAUGCUGUAUUUCUACUGCUUCCACACCUGUUUAUGUCCAGUGCAUCCGCUUCUUAUGUGCAUAUGUGCAUGUGCCUUAAGAGAGUCCUUUUUGAAAUGUUAUUAUUAUUUAUUUUACUUUUUAUUAU